This 292-nucleotide ribosomal RNA is filed under the name uncultured Bradyrhizobium sp. Its description in RNAcentral is "partial 16S ribosomal RNA". It matches the Rfam family "Bacterial small subunit ribosomal RNA", at positions 505 to 796 of the family's 1533-position model. Lineage: Bacteria; Pseudomonadati; Pseudomonadota; Alphaproteobacteria; Hyphomicrobiales; Nitrobacteraceae. The record is from RNAcentral.
GUGUCAGCCGCCGCGGUAAUACGAAGGGGGCUAGCGUUGCUCGGAAUCACUGGGCGUAAAGGGUGCGUAGGCGGGUCUUUAAGUCAGAGGUGAAAUCCUGGAGCUCAACUCCAGAACUGCCUUUGAUACUGAAGAUCUUGAGUUCGGGAGAGGUGAGUGGAACUGCGAGUGUAGAGGUGAAAUUCGUAGAUAUUCGCAAGAACACCAGUGGCGAAGGCGGCUCACUGGCCCGAUACUGACGCUGAGGCACGAAAGCGUGGGGAGCAAAUAGGAUUAGAUACCCGGGUAGUCC